Molecule: ribosomal RNA, 407 nt
Filed under: uncultured bacterium
Lineage: Bacteria
Description: bacterial SSU rRNA
Rfam family: Bacterial small subunit ribosomal RNA
Source: RNAcentral
UGGGGAAUAUUUCACAAUGGGCGCAAGCCUGAUGCAGCAACGCCGCGUGAGGGAUGACGGCCUUCGGGUUGUAAACCUCUUUUAGUAGGGAAGAAGCGAAAGUGACGGUACCUGCAGAAAAAGCACCGGCUAACUACGUGCCAGCAGCCGCGGUAAUACGUAGGGUGCGAGCGUUGUCCGGAAUUAUUUGGCGUAAAGAGCUCGUAGGCGGUCUGUCGCGUCUGCUGUGAAAACCCGAGGCUCAACCUCGGGCCUGCAGUGGGUACGGGCAGACUAGAGUGCGGGAGGGGAGAAUGGAAUUCCUGGUGUAGCGGUGGAAUGCGCAGAUAUCAGGAGGAACACCGAUGGCGGACGCAGUUCUCUGCGCCGUAACUGGCGCUGAUGAGCGAAAGCGUGGGGAGCGAACA